This 634-nucleotide ribosomal RNA is filed under the name Yamadaella caenomyce. RNAcentral describes it as "eukaryotic LSU rRNA". It matches the Rfam family "Eukaryotic large subunit ribosomal RNA", at positions 1264 to 1920 of the family's 3401-position model. Lineage: Eukaryota; Rhodophyta; Florideophyceae; Nemaliales; Liagoraceae. The record is from RNAcentral.
GAAUCCGCYAAGGAGUGUGUAACAACUCACCUGCCGAAUGAAUUAGCCCUGAAAAUGGAUGGCGCUGAAGCGGGCAGCCGACACCGCGCCGUUCCGGCGAGACGAUGCCGGGAUGAGUAGGAGGGCGUGGCGGUCAGUGACGCAGGCGAGGGUGCAGACCCCGCUGAAACGGCCGCUAGUGCAGAUCUUGGUGGUAGUAGCAAAUAUUCAAGCGAGAUCCUUGAAGGGCGAAGCGGGGAAGGGUUCCACGCAAACAUUGAUUGGGCGUGGGUGAGUCGUUCCUAAGCCGAGUGGCAAUUGCUAAGUAGCGGCGAAAGGGAAGCGGGUUAAAAUUCCCGCACACAGAUAUGGAGGCGGCGACGCAAGCAGAGGCAAAUACGCUGGCGAGGGCGCUGGGCAGAGUUGUCUUUUCUGUUUGACCGGCAUCGUGCUGUGUGGAAUCCGCUUAUCGGGAGAAACACGCACGGGGAGGGGCAGAGCGUCAGGUCUUUUCUGGCGUCCGGCUCGCCCUCGACGGCCCUUGAAAAUUUGCCCGCGAACUAAUUUCAUGCUGUGACGUACCGAUAACCGCAUCAGGUCCCCAAGGUGAACAGCCUCUGCUCAAUAUGAACAAUGCAGGUAAGGGAAGUCGGCA